This 593-nucleotide long non-coding RNA is filed under the name Musa acuminata (dwarf banana). Its description in RNAcentral is "long non-coding RNA (MACU_LNC005825)". The record is from RNAcentral. Lineage: Eukaryota; Viridiplantae; Streptophyta; Magnoliopsida; Zingiberales; Musaceae.
AAAGCUUCUGAAGGAAUAGAAUCGAUCUAUCAUCUGCCUACAUGGAUAGGAAUAGAAUCGAUCUAUCAUCUGCCUACAAGGAUGGUCGGAGUCGCACAACAACUAGUAAAUCGGGGACAAGGGUAGCAACUUAGAUAGCGACAUGGAUGGAAGGCGAUGAUGAAAAGAAGCUCCAGUUUUGGUUCAGAAGAUAGGGGAAAAGAGAACCUUACAUGGUUGUUAGUGGCAGUCUCAGGUUACAUAUUAGAAUAGCGGGGGUUCAGUGGAAUCCUUAUUCUCAUCCGCUAGCGGGAAAGAAAUCUGGGUAUCAAGCUUUCACCGAUAAGUCUCAAGAAGUGGAACAAAGAUCUUUCCGCAGAAGCUUUCGACAAGGGAAACAGUUACAUCAGUAGAGCAAGAGGCGAGAGAUAGAUUCCAUGAAUGAUUUGUUGCGCUAACAAGAAGGGAUUCCAAUUAUACUCGCUUAGGUACUGAUCAAGACUCCGUUUUGGUGCUUGUGUUGUAUACGAGUUCUUUUCUUAGCUUUCCCUUUGCGCCCGUUGCUUGCUCUCUUGCUCGUUCUCUUGCCUGUGGGGGUAUAACCUCUGUUUACU